AAAAAGUUGUACAUCCGUGAACUGUAGCAAGCAAGACCGCAUGGACUUUUCAAGGGACAAAGUGGUCUUUAAACGUAAACUUUAGAAAAUAGCCGAAAGAAGUGUUCCGAAGCUCUCACACAGACUAACUGCUGCUCUUCCCUCCUUUUUAGCAUAUACUUUUCUUCUGCUAUUUAUGUUUCUUUGUAGAGUUUCACUGAACUAUUGAUUUCUCUUUCCGAGCUGUAAAUUUUGAAGUUUUGACUUGAGAGCCGGUAAAAAAGUUAGAAAGCCAGCAGCUUGGCUUCUAGGUUUUUAUCAACCAACUCAGUUGCAGAAACAAGUUGUAUAACAGCUAAAUACCUGCUUCAUGCUAUUAAAAAACAAACUUAAGUUUUAUCUCCCCGUCUGCGUGCAUGUGAGAAGACAGAUACAAGGAAUAUAUAAUUUAUACAAAAGAGGGUAUGUUCUUUUGAUGUGGUUGCUUAAACAGCAUGACUUGAUAUAACAGUUGAUUAAACAGUGCCAAGGAAUAAAAGCUAUUCUUAAUGGUGUGGGAUACUGCAAAUCUUUUAUCACCCCUCUUACCUUGUCCCCCUCCCCAGGGAAAGAUGAUCGAUAUCCCAGGCACUAGACGGGUGGACAUCGCAAUGAAGAAGUAUAGAGAAUAAGGAUAAACUCCCUCAUUAUCAGAUUGCCAUAUGUACAAAGCAGUCACCCAAAGAUUAACAGGAAAGGAAACGCAAAGAAGGAAUUAAUUAAAUGUAUUUGGAAGUUAUUUUCUUGUCCCUCGGCACAUCGAAUUGUGAUGCGUGUGUAGAUGUGUGUGUGUGUGAGCCUAUCCAAGUGCACAGAGGCGAGAAGUCAUCAUGGCAUAUAUUUCCCUGCUUUCUGAUGACCCAAAAACUUAAGAGAUACUGAAAUAUAGCUGCUCAAGCACCAGCCAUGAGUAAGAGAAUAUCCAGUGUUUAGUCCCAGUUGUAAUGUUGAUUUGCUUUCUUGGUCGUUGGCAGGUGACUUAGAUCCAAUGUUUGCAUCACAUAAACACUGCUAAGAAUAAACCUUCAAAAGAAAUCA
This 1056-nucleotide long non-coding RNA is filed under the name Calidris pugnax (ruff). RNAcentral's name for it is "lncRNA (ENSCPUG00000019206.1)". The record is from RNAcentral. Lineage: Eukaryota; Metazoa; Chordata; Aves; Charadriiformes; Scolopacidae.